This 468-nucleotide ribosomal RNA is filed under the name uncultured bacterium. RNAcentral's name for it is "partial 16S ribosomal RNA". It matches the Rfam family "Bacterial small subunit ribosomal RNA", at positions 28 to 507 of the family's 1533-position model. The record is from RNAcentral.
GACGAACGCUGGCGGCGUGCUUAACACAUGCAAGUCGAACGGUGAUGCUCCAGCUUGCUGGCGUGGAUCAGUGGCGAACGGGUGAGUAACACGUGAGCAACCUGCCCCAGACUCUGGAAUAAGCGCUGGAAACGGCGUCUAAUACUGGAUACGAAACUGGCCCGCAUGGGCAUGGUUUGGAAAGUUUUUCGGUUUGGGAUGGGCUCGCGGCCUAUCAGCUUGUUGGUGAGGUAAUGGCUCACCAAGGCGACGACGGGUAGCCGGCCUGAGAGGGCGAGCGGCCACACUGGGACUGAGACACGGCCCAGACUCCUACGGGAGGCAGCAGUGGGGAAUAUUGCACAAUGGGCGAAAGCCUGAUGCAGCGACGCCGCGUGAGGGAUGACGGCCUUCGGGUUGUAAACCUCUUUCAGCAGGGAAGAAGCGAAAGUGACGGUACCUGCAGAAGAAGCACCGGCUAACUACGUG